UAUGUGUGUGUAUUAUUUCUACUCUGGA
Molecule: small RNA, 28 nt
Filed under: Bombyx mori (domestic silkworm)
Lineage: Eukaryota; Metazoa; Arthropoda; Insecta; Lepidoptera; Bombycidae
Description: ovarian small RNA-24049
Source: RNAcentral